RNAcentral lists this ribosomal RNA (223 nucleotides) under Canis lupus familiaris (dog). RNAcentral describes it as "partial 28S ribosomal RNA". Lineage: Eukaryota; Metazoa; Chordata; Mammalia; Carnivora; Canidae. The record is from RNAcentral.
GCGGGGCGGGGGGGUUGCGGCGGGGCCCCGGCGGCGGGGGAGGUCCCCCGCGGGGCCCGCGGGCCCACGGGGGCCCGGGCACCCGGGGGGCCGGCGGCGGCGGCGACUCUGGACGCGAGCCGGGCCCUUCCCGUGGAUCGCCCCAGCUGCGGCGGGCGUCGCGGCCGCACCCGGGGAGCCCGGCGGGCGCCGGCGCGCCCCGCCGCGCGCGCGCCGUGCGCGG